AUUGAUACUAAGCCACGCGAGUCUUUGCAGUAAUGCAAGGCGGACUGCUCAGUAACACGUAGUCAACUUAACCUAUGGAUGGGUAUAACCUCGGGAAACUGAGAAUAAUUCCCAAUAGAUCAUUUAUCCUGGAAUGGUUAGUGAUUGAAAUGAUUCGUCGCCAUAGGAUAGGACUGCGGCCUAUCAGCUUGUUGGUGAGGUAAAGGCCCACCAAGGCUAUUACAGGUACGGGCUCUGAGAGAAGAAGCCCGGAGAUGGGUACUGAGACACGGACCCAGGCCCUAUGGGCGCAGCAGGCGAGAAAACUUUGCAAUGUGCGAAAGCACGACAAGGUUAAUCCGAGUGAUUUCUGCUAAAGAAAUCUUUUGCCAGUUCUAAAAAUACUGGUGAAUAAGGGGUGGGCAAGUUCUGGUGCCAGCAGCCGCCGGUAAU
Molecule: ribosomal RNA, 432 nt
Filed under: uncultured archaeon
Lineage: Archaea
Description: bacterial SSU rRNA
Rfam family: Archaeal small subunit ribosomal RNA
Source: RNAcentral